UUUUUUUUUGUGGAAGACUGAUUUAAAAUUGUAUGAAAGAUCUUUAAUUUAUACUUGCUUACAUUAGUAACUGCUCUUUUUGAAACAAACAAGCAUGUAGUUAUAAGAACCUUGCUCAUUGUAGUUAGCUCUGCCUUGUUAUGUGAAAGCCAUAGAGAUUGUCUGCCUUCCUUCACUUCUGCUAACUGGCGGUUCCUCUCCCACCAGGCUUUGUGAUGUUAAGAAGAGAAAUGGACCCUCUGAUGAGAUUAAUCUUUUCCCUUUCCUCAAAUUCAUACAUCAAAGUCCUAGCCCCCAACAUCUCAAAAUGUGACCUUUUUAAAGAUAGAAUAUUAGAUAGUUAAGUUAGAUGAGACUGUUAGGGUGGGCUUUAGUUCAGUAUGACUCAUGUCCAUAGAAGAACUUGAGAAAAUUUAAAUAUAGACA
This 426-nucleotide long non-coding RNA is filed under the name Fukomys damarensis (Damara mole-rat). RNAcentral's name for it is "lncRNA (ENSFDAG00000022880.1)". Lineage: Eukaryota; Metazoa; Chordata; Mammalia; Rodentia; Bathyergidae. The record is from RNAcentral.